Molecule: ribosomal RNA, 491 nt
Filed under: uncultured bacterium
Lineage: Bacteria
Description: partial 16S ribosomal RNA
Rfam family: Bacterial small subunit ribosomal RNA
Source: RNAcentral
AGUGAACGCUGGCGGUAGGCCUAACACAUGCAAGUCGAACGGCAGCACAGUAAGAGCUUGCUCUUACGGGUGGCGAGUGGCGGACGGGUGAGGAAUACAUCGGAAUCUACUUUUUCGUGGGGGAUAACGUAGGGAAACUUACGCUAAUACCGCAUACGACCUACGGGUGAAAGCAGGGGAUCUUCGGACCUUGCGCGAUUGAAUGAGCCGAUGUCGGAUUAGCUAGUUGGCGGGGUAAAGGCCCACCAAGGCGACGAUCCGUAGCUGGUCUGAGAGGAUGAUCUGCCACACUGGAACUGAGACACGGUCCAGACUCCUACGGGAGGCAGCAGUGGGGAAUAUUGGACAAUGGGCGCAAGCCUGAUCCAGCCAUACCGCGUGGGUGAAGAAGGCCUUCGGGUUGUAAAGCCCUUUUGUUGGGAAAAAAAGCAGCAGGUUAAUACCCCGCUGUUCUGACGGUACCCAAAGAAUAAGCACCGGCUAACUUCGUG